AGAUUAAGUUAUUAAGGGCGCACGGUGGAUGCCUUGGCACUAGAAGCCGAUGAAGGACGUUACUAACGACGAUAUGCUUUGGGGAGCUGUAAGUAAGCUUUGAUCCAGAGAUUUCCGAAUGGGGAAACCCAGCAUGAGUUAUGUCAUGUUAUCGAUAUGUGAAUACAUAGCAUAUCAGAAGGCACACCCGGAGAACUGAAACAUCUUAGUACCCGGAGGAAGAGAAAGAAAAUUCGAUUCCCUUAGUAGCGGCGAGCGAAACGGGAAGAGCCCAAACCAACAAGCUUGCUUGUUGGGGUUGUAGGACACUCUAUACGGAGUUACAAAGGACGACAUUAGACGAAUCAUCUGGAAAGAUGAAUCAAAGAAGGUAAUAAUCCUGUAGUCGAAAAUGUUGUCUCUCUUGAGUGGAUCCUGAGUACGACGGAGCACGUGAAAUUCCGUCGGAAUCUGGGAGGACCAUCUCCUAAGGCUAAAUACUCUCUAGUGACCGAUAGUGAACCAGUACCGUGAGGGAAAGGUGAAAAGCACCCCGGAAGGGGAGUGAAAUAGAACCUGAAACCGUGUGCUUACAAGUAGUCAGAGCCCGUUAAUGGGUGAUGGCGUGCCUUUUGUAGAAUGAACCGGCGAGUUACGAUUUGAUGCAAGGUUAAGCAGUAAAUGUGGAGCCGUAGCGAAAGCGAGUCUGAAUAGGGCGUUUAGUAUUUGGUCGUAGACCCGAAACCAGGUGAUCUACCCUUGGUCAGGUUGAAGUUCAGGUAACACUGAAUGGAGGACCGAACCGACUUACGUUGAAAAGUGAGCGGAUGAACUGAGGGUAGCGGAGAAAUUCCAAUCGAACCUGGAGAUAGCUGGUUCUCUCCGAAAUAGCUUUAGGGCUAGCCUCAAGUGAUGAUUAUUGGAGGUAGAGCACUGUUUGGACGAGGGGCCCCUCUCGGGUUACCGAAUUCAGACAAACUCCGAAUGCCAAUUAAUUUAACUUGGGAGUCAGAACAUGGGUGAUAAGGUCCGUGUUCGAAAGGGAAACAGCCCAGACCACCAGCUAAGGUCCCAAAAUAUAUGUUAAGUGGAAAAGGAUGUGGCGUUGCCCAGACAACUAGGAUGUUGGCUUAGAAGCAGCCAUCAUUUAAAGAGUGCGUAAUAGCUCACUAGUCGAGUGACACUGCGCCGAAAAUGUACCGGGGCUAAACAUAUUACCGAAGCUGUGGAUUGUCCUUUGGACAAUGGUAGGAGAGCGUUCUAAGGGCGUUGAAGCAUGAUCGUAAGGACAUGUGGAGCGCUUAGAAGUGAGAAUGCCGGUGUGAGUAGCGAAAGACGGGUGAGAAUCCCGUCCACCGAUUGACUAAGGUUUCCAGAGGAAGGCUCGUCCGCUCUGGGUUAGUCGGGUCCUAAGCUGAGGCCGACAGGCGUAGGCGAUGGAUAACAGGUUGAUAUUCCUGUACCACCUAUAAUCGUUUUAAUCGAUGGGGGGACGCAGUAGGAUAGGCGAAGCGUGCGAUUGGAUUGCACGUCUAAGCAGUAAGGCUGAGUAUUAGGCAAAUCCGGUACUCGUUAAGGCUGAGCUGUGAUGGGGAGAAGACAUUGUGUCUUCGAGUCGUUGAUUUCACACUGCCGAGAAAAGCCUCUAGAUAGAAAAUAGGUGCCCGUACCGCAAACCGACACAGGUAGUCAAGAUGAGAAUUCUAAGGUGAGCGAGCGAACUCUCGUUAAGGAACUCGGCAAAAUGACCCCGUAACUUCGGGAGAAGGGGUGCUCUUUAGGGUUAACGCCCAGAAGAGCCGCAGUGAAUAGGCCCAAGCGACUGUUUAUCAAAAACACAGGUCUCUGCUAAACCGUAAGGUGAUGUAUAGGGGCUGACGCCUGCCCGGUGCUGGAAGGUUAAGAGGAGUGGUUAGCUUCUGCGAAGCUACGAAUCGAAGCCCCAGUAAACGGCGGCCGUAACUAUAACGGUCCUAAGGUAGCGAAAUUCCUUGUCGGGUAAGUUCCGACCCGCACGAAAGGCGUAACGAUUUGGGCACUGUCUCAACGAGAGACUCGGUGAAAUCAUAGUACCUGUGAAGAUGCAGGUUACCCGCGACAGGACGGAAAGACCCCGUGGAGCUUUACUGUAGCCUGAUAUUGAAAUUCGGCACAGCUUGUACAGGAUAGGUAGGAGCCUUUGAAACGUGAGCGCUAGCUUACGUGGAGGCGCUGGUGGGAUACUACCCUAGCUGUGUUGGCUUUCUAACCCGCACCACUUAUCGUGGUGGGAGACAGUGUCAGGCGGGCAGUUUGACUGGGGCGGUCGCCUCCUAAAAGGUAACGGAGGCGCUCAAAGGUUCCCUCAGAAUGGUUGGAAAUCAUUCAUAGAGUGUAAAGGCAUAAGGGAGCUUGACUGCGAGACCUACAAGUCGAGCAGGGUCGAAAGACGGACUUAGUGAUCCGGUGGUUCCGCAUGGAAGGGCCAUCGCUCAACGGAUAAAAGCUACCCCGGGGAUAACAGGCUUAUCUCCCCCAAGAGUUCACAUCGACGGGGAGGUUUGGCACCUCGAUGUCGGCUCAUCGCAUCCUGGGGCUGUAGUCGGUCCCAAGGGUUGGGCUGUUCGCCCAUUAAAGCGGUACGCGAGCUGGGUUCAGAACGUCGUGAGACAGUUCGGUCCCUAUCCGUCGUGGGCGUAGGAAAUUUGAGAGGAGCUGUCCUUAGUACGAGAGGACCGGGAUGGACAUACCUCUGGUGUACCAGUUGUCGUGCCAACGGCAUAGCUGGGUAGCUAUGUGUGGACGGGAUAAGUGCUGAAAGCAUCUAAGCAUGAAGCCCCCCUCAAGAUGAGAUUUCCCAACUUCGGUUAUAAGAUCCCUCAAAGAUGAUGAGGUUAAUAGGUUCGAGGUGGAAGCAUGGUGACAUGUGGAGCUGACGAAUACUAAUCGAUCGAAGACUUAAUCAAA
Molecule: ribosomal RNA, 2925 nt
Filed under: Staphylococcus aureus
Lineage: Bacteria; Bacillati; Bacillota; Bacilli; Caryophanales; Staphylococcaceae
Description: bacterial LSU rRNA
Rfam family: Bacterial large subunit ribosomal RNA
Source: RNAcentral